AUCUCAUCGACCUUUGACUUUUUCCGAGUCGGAGGGCGGAUUUGGACGCUGCCGGCUUUUCCAAGUCGACUCGUCUUAAAUACAUCAGCUGGUUCCGCCGCGUGAGCUCGGUACGGUGUGAUAAGUCUCGCUUUGACGCCGUCUUUGACUCUGUGUAGUGGGCCGCUUCUAAUCGUCUUCGGACAAAUCCAAUC
RNAcentral lists this unclassified non-coding RNA (194 nucleotides) under uncultured Agaricomycetes. RNAcentral describes it as "sequence contains ITS2". The record is from RNAcentral. Lineage: Eukaryota; Fungi; Basidiomycota; Agaricomycetes.